GACGAACGCUGGCGGCGUGCUUAACACAUGCCAGUCGAACGGAAAGGCCCCUUUGGGGGUACUCGAGUGGCGAACGGGUGAGUAACACGUGAGUAACCUGCCCUUGACUUCGGGAUAACUUCAGGAAACUGGGGCUAAUACCGGAUAGGAAUCCUUGCUGCAUGGUGGGGGUUGGAAAGCUUCGGCGGUUUUGGAUGGACUCGCGGCUUAUCAGCUUGUUGGUGGGGUAGUGGCUUACCAAGGCUUUGACGGGUAGCCGGCCUGAGAGGGCGACCGGCCACAGUGGGACUGAGAUACGGCCCAGACUCCUACGGGAGGCAGCAGUGGGGAAUAUUGCACAAUGGGCGGAAGCCUGAUGCAGCAACGCCGCGUGCGGGAUGACGGCCUUCGGGUUGUAAACCGCUUUCAGCAGGGGCGAAGCUUGUGGUGACGGUACCUGCAGAAGAAGCACCGGCUAACUACGUG
RNAcentral lists this ribosomal RNA (465 nucleotides) under uncultured bacterium. Its description in RNAcentral is "partial 16S ribosomal RNA". It matches the Rfam family "Bacterial small subunit ribosomal RNA", at positions 28 to 507 of the family's 1533-position model. The record is from RNAcentral.